Molecule: ribosomal RNA, 483 nt
Filed under: Aoraki calcarobtusa westlandica
Lineage: Eukaryota; Metazoa; Arthropoda; Arachnida; Opiliones; Pettalidae
Description: partial 16S ribosomal RNA
Source: RNAcentral
UUCUUUUAGAAGUAAUUAAAAGUAAUUUCUGCUCAAUGAUUGAUUAAAUAGCUGCAUUUUGUACUAAGGUAGCAUAAUAAAUUGUCUAUUAAUUGUAGACUAGAAUGAAGGAAAAAAUAUAUUUAAUUCUGUCUUUUUAUUAUACCUUGAAUUUAAAAUUUUUGUUAAAAUGCAAAAAUAUAUUUUAGGGACAAGAAGACCCUUUAAAGCUUUAUAUGAUUUGUCCUAUUUAAAUGGAAUAAUUAUAUUUUAUUGGGGCAAUAUUAUGUUUAUAAAAAAUAUAUAAGUUUUAUAAUAAUUAAAUAAUUUUACUUUUGAUCCAAUAUUAUUGAUAAACUGAAUAAGUUACUUUAGGGAUAACAGGAUAAUUUUUAUUUUAGAGUUCAUAUUAAAAAUAAAGAUUAUUACCUCGAUGUUGAAUUAAUUUUAUAUAAUGGUGAAGGAGCUAUUGUUAUAUGACUGUUCGUCAUUUAAAAAAUUACA